Molecule: ribosomal RNA, 229 nt
Filed under: uncultured bacterium
Lineage: Bacteria
Description: partial 16S ribosomal RNA
Rfam family: Bacterial small subunit ribosomal RNA
Source: RNAcentral
CGCGUAGGCGGCUCUAUAAGUCAGAUGUGAAAGCCCUGGGCUUAACCCAGGAAGUGCAUUUGAAACUAUAGGGCUUGAGUAUGGGAGAGGGAAGUGGAAUUCCUGGUGUAGAGGUGAAAUUCGUAGAUAUCAGGAGGAACACCGGUGGCGAAGGCGACUUCCUGGACCAAUACUGACGCUGAGGCGCGAAGGCGUGGGGAGCAAACAGGAUUAGAUACCCUGGUAGUCC